This 442-nucleotide ribosomal RNA is filed under the name uncultured bacterium. RNAcentral describes it as "partial 16S ribosomal RNA". It matches the Rfam family "Bacterial small subunit ribosomal RNA", at positions 338 to 795 of the family's 1533-position model. The record is from RNAcentral.
CCUACGGGAGGCAGCAGUGAGGAAUAUUGGUCAAUGGGCGGAAGCCUGACCCAGCAACGCCGCGUGAAGGAUGAAGGCUUUCGGGUUGUAAACUUGUUUUGACAGGGGAGAGUAGAAGACGGUACCUGUCGAAUAAGCCACGGCGAACUACGUGCUAUCAGCCGCGGUAAUACGUAGGUGUCAAGCGUUUUCUGGAUUUACUGGGUGGAAAGGGCGUGUAGCCGGGUUGACAAGUCAGAUGUGAAAUCCUGCGGCUUAACCGGAGAACUGCAUUUGAAACGGUUGAUCGUGAGUACUGGAGAGGCAGACGGAAUUCGUCGUGUAGCGGUGAAAUGCGUAGAUAUUACGAGGAACACCAGUGGCGAAGGCGGUUUGCUGGACAGCAACUGACGGUGAGGCGCGAAAGCGUGGGGAGCAAACAGGAUUAGAUACCCCUGUAGUC